This 426-nucleotide ribosomal RNA is filed under the name uncultured bacterium. Its description in RNAcentral is "bacterial SSU rRNA". It matches the Rfam family "Bacterial small subunit ribosomal RNA", at positions 354 to 796 of the family's 1533-position model. The record is from RNAcentral.
GUGAGGAAUAUUGCACAAUGGGCGAAAGCCUGAUGCAGCAACGCCGCGUGAGGGACGAAGGCCUUCGGGUCGUAAACCUCUUUUCUGGGGGAAGAGCAAGGACGGUACCUCAGGAAUAAGUCUCGGCUAACUACGUGCCAGCAGCCGCGGUAACACGUAGGAGGCGAGCGUUAUCCGGAUUUACUGGGCGUAAAGCGCGCGCAGGCGGCUUCGUUAGUCGGACGUGAAAGCUCCUGGCUUAACUGGGAGAGGCCGUUCGAUACUGCGAGGCUUGAGGUUGGGAGAGGGGUGUGGAAUUCCCGGUGUAGUGGUGGAAUGCGUAGAUAUCGGGAGGAACACCUGUGGCGAAAGCGGCACCCUGGCCCACACCUGACGCUGAGGUGCGAAAGCGUGGGGAGCAAACAGGAUUAGAUACCCGGGUAGUCC